Long non-coding RNA from Melitaea cinxia (Glanville fritillary), 708 nucleotides. RefSeq lists it as uncharacterized. The record is from RefSeq and is a predicted model, not a curated record. NCBI's taxonomy places the organism in Eukaryota, Metazoa, Arthropoda, Insecta, Lepidoptera, Nymphalidae. The transcript is spliced from 2 exons.
ACGCCCCCGUGCAAUAAGUCGGUAAUGUGCUAUUAUGGACUUUUUGCUGUUAUGUUAAAAUCGUAAUCUAUGGGUCGGAAUACACAUUGUGAAUUUUUUUUAUAAUUUUCCUAUUUACAUUUUCGGAGAUAUUUGGAAUAGCCACUUUGUUGUAGGGAAAUUGUAAAUACAUUUAUGACGAGAAAAACAUCAUUACACAUUAAUACUUAAGUGUUUUUCUUUUCGGUAUUCGGUAAGUUGCUAUUACUGGAUUAUUGUAGUGAAUAAUUUGCAGUAAUUUCCUUUAAACGCAUAUGCCAUAUUUAUUUCGUAUUUAAUUUGUAAAACAUUAAUCAGUAAUAGCAAAUAACAAAGUUUUUAGAAAGGAAAAUGUUUUGUAACAUUAACAUACUUACUAUUCGUUUCAAAUUCGACCAUGUCAAUAUCUGUAUUCAACAUUAUUAUGUUUACUUCAUCAUCAGAUAAUUUGUAAUAUACAUUUCUCUCUUUCUUUUUAUGGUAUUCUGAUUAUUAUAAGUGUAUUUAUGUGUAAGUGUGAAUGAGGAUUGUAUAGGAUACUGUUGUUUACCACUUGAAUUAGUAUUUUAUGGUGGAAUUGAGAAAUUAAAAAAUUCUCGUGUAAGACGAAUGCUGUUCUUGGUGAACAAAUUAGAUGACUUUGAGAGUGAAGAUGUAGAAUCAAAUAAAUAUUUAAAUACUUCGAAAACA